Long non-coding RNA from Bubalus bubalis (water buffalo), 467 nucleotides. RefSeq lists it as uncharacterized. NCBI's taxonomy places the organism in Eukaryota, Metazoa, Chordata, Mammalia, Artiodactyla, Bovidae. The record is from RefSeq and is a predicted model, not a curated record. The transcript is spliced from 3 exons.
GGAAGUGACAGGAGCUGAGGCAGCUUAGGCCCUGGGGCCUGAGAGCCUGGCUCUCUCUCCAUCAAUGCCACAAGCCACUCAGGACGGAGGGCAGGGAGGAAGAACACCUUCGAGCUCAGAGGGUUAGAGGAGUGACAGAGAGGGACUCGGACCGACCGAGUGGAGGAAGACACACAAAGAAAUGGCAGAGAUGGGGGAAGACACAGCACCUGUCCUUCCGAGCUCCUCGGAGUCUUCCUGAUCAGUUUCCCCCAACCAGAAGAGCUCUUCCUUCCCCCACCCCACCUGUUCACCUGCUCCAGCUUUUUGGUGUUCUGUGAAGCUCUGCAUGCACAGCCCACAAGCAAACCACUCCAAGAAUGCAGCGCCAAGAAAACAGUUCUACAGGAACAAGCCUGCUUCCUUUCACCAGAAACCCAGAAAGCUACAGAAUCCACUCUGAUUCCCUUUAGACCCUGACUACCAGG